GAUGAACGCUGGCGGCGUGCUUAACACAUGCAAGUCGAACGAAGCAUUUGCGACAGAUUUUUUCGGAAUGAAGUUGCUUAUGACUGAGUGGCGGACGGGUGAGUAACGCGUGGGUAACCUGCCUUGUACUGGGGGAUAGCAGCUGGAAACGGCUGGUAAUACCGCAUAAGCGCACAAUGUUGCAUGACAUGGUGUGAAAAACUCCGGUGGUAUAAGAUGGACCCGCGUCUGAUUAGCUAGUUGGUGAGAUAACAGCCCACCAAGGCGACGAUCAGUAGCCGACCUGAGAGGGUGACCGGACACAUUGGGACUGAGACACGGCCCAGACUCCUACGGGAGGCAGCAGUGGGGAAUAGUGCACAAUGGAGGAAACUCUGAUGCAGCGACGCCGCGUGAGUGAAGAAGUAAUUCGUUAUGUAAAGCUCUAUCAGCAGGGAAGAUAGUGACGGUACCUGACUAAGAAGCUCCGGCUAAAUACGUG
Molecule: ribosomal RNA, 481 nt
Filed under: uncultured bacterium
Lineage: Bacteria
Description: partial 16S ribosomal RNA
Rfam family: Bacterial small subunit ribosomal RNA
Source: RNAcentral